UUUCACAUUUCCUCCAAGACGCUGUGUUUCAUUUAUUCUGAGAUCGGAUGGGCUUGGCAUCAGUAUGUGUUUUUGUUGUAAAGCGUAUAUCUAUAGUUGUUUUAAUGGGUUGGCAUGUAUGAAUAUUUUGUAGAUAACCUGAUUUGGGCUGGGAAGUAAAAAAUGGAGGUUCAUCACGAGAAGCUUCUAUUUUCUUCACGAGUAUCUGUCGUUCUUGACAUAUGUUCAUCGUCUUCUCGAAGUUCUGACUAGGUUAACCAACAAUGGAGUUUCUGAAAGGUUGUGUGAAACGAGUCUUCUUGAGUAAUCUUUGUCUUGUAUCAUUUUCUUUACGAUUCAAUGAUUCAAACAUUGCGUAAUUAGUCGGAAUCAAAGCGUCACCUUAAACGGGUUCAUUAACUAUUGUUUUUUUUUUUUUUGUAAACUCUUCAUUAACUAUUGUUCUCCACUCCUCCCACAAUCUAUCAUUGAAUGCAUCUCUCUUCAUUUUUUUCUCAAAAUCUGCAACUAUAAAAAGGAAGUCCUAUGCUGUGAAUUUCAUUAGUUCUAUCAUUUCAUAUCUUUCAAAAAUCCCAGUGAUAACGUCAAUGAUUUAGAUUUUGAUUUUGUUAGUUGAUUUUGUUUCAUUAUGUGUUUUUUCAAAAUUUUAGCUUUAUUUCAGAAGAUUUUGUUUAUGGGAGAUGAUUCGAUUUCAAUUUUGAUUGUUGAUUUUGUUUUAAUUUGUUCAUGUAUUGAUUAUCAAAAGAAAAUAUUUAAAAUUUUGUGUCUAUGGGAGAUGAUUUAGAUCUAGAUUUAUUUUGUUAAUUUUGUUUCCAACGAGAUUAGUUUUUCUAUUACCGGUUUCGCUAAACGUCUCUUCUUGACUCUUUACCUUCAACAAUCUAUAAAACCUUCGACAUUACAAUUCAUUAUUUUGAUAUUAAACGGUUGUCAUAUACAUAAUCGUCCAAUUUGCUGUUUUUUUAUAUUAAAUCAGAGGAAGAUAUUACAAAUGGAAAAAGCAAAGCUCAAUCUGAAACUAAAUUCUUAAAGCUAAGGAGAAAAUGAAGAGAUUGAGACAAUCCAGUAAAAAUGCAACAAAGUCACUGGAAAAUCCGGUAUACUUGAUGAGAUUAUCAAGCAUGUUCUAUCUCCAAAAACAAGUUGAGGCAAGUAAUGAAACCAUGAUUCUCUGUUUCACCAUUUUCUUCAAAAAGGUAUUGUGAAUCUUCUUUUAAUUGAGAAGUAAUUGAUAGCUGCUACAAGGAUAAUUGCAUAACUUAUGGUAAAAACUACAUAUUACCAGGGAACUAUAAAUCUUCAUGAAAGAUAAAUUGGACCUUUAUGAUGUUGUUUUUGUUACAUAUCAAGAUUGCUCUAGCCUUCGAUUUUAAAAUUAUUGUCUUGUGGUAAGUAUAAUUGAAACUGAUUAUGUAUGAAGUAUUCUAUUUCAACCAACAUAACUAUAAACUCUCACGGUAUUAGGCAACC
Molecule: long non-coding RNA, 1470 nt
Organism: Raphanus sativus (radish)
Lineage: Eukaryota; Viridiplantae; Streptophyta; Magnoliopsida; Brassicales; Brassicaceae
Exons: 2
Source: RefSeq, a predicted model, not a curated record